UUAUAGAGAUUCUACUUCAUGUAAGCUAAUUAUGGUUUUUUCCUUUUAGAGGUAAAAAAGUUCAUACAAUACAUGUUAUUACUGUAACAAGUAUAAUGAGGGCACGCAGUAGCUGGAAGCUGCUUCUUUAUCCAUCAGCCAAGGCGUAAGUAAGGCUGGACCUGAAUUCAAGAGAACUUAUAUCUACUUUUGUCUCUUCUGCCAGUCUUCAGGUAUCACUCAAACUACUGGAAACAAGCGUCUCUGAAUCUUAUUUAGCCUUAAUAGAAGUGCUGCUGCAAAGAACGAAGGCAACUCAGAAUCAGUGGACAGACAAUAGAGUUUCAGGCAGAGCAGGUACAGCAGAAGCAUUAUUUCAUUCCUUUGUACAUCGUAUGAUGCAUUUUCUUUUUAGCAUCUUUCCUGAAAUAUUUAUUUGCUGUUAUGUUUCUCCAGAGAACAGUCUACAGUAAAUUCCCAGAAUAACCAGAAGCUUUUGUUUGAAAAAUAUUUUUUCCCUCUUU
This 503-nucleotide long non-coding RNA is filed under the name Meleagris gallopavo (turkey). RNAcentral's name for it is "lncRNA (ENSMGAG00000018000.1)". The record is from RNAcentral. Lineage: Eukaryota; Metazoa; Chordata; Aves; Galliformes; Phasianidae.